UACGAAGGGGGCUAGCGUUGCUCGGAAUCACUGGGCGUAAAGGGCGCGUAGGCGGGAUGGCAAGUCAGUCGUGAAAUCUCUCGGCUCAACCGAGAAACGUCGGCUGAUACUGCCGUUCUUGAGGGAUGCAGAGGAGACUGGAAUUCCCGGUGUAGCGGUGAAAUGUGUAGAGAUCGGGAGGAACACCGGUGGCGAAGGCGGGUCUCUGGGCAUUUCCUGACGCUGAGGCGCGAAAGCGUGGGGAGCAAACGGG
This 253-nucleotide ribosomal RNA is filed under the name uncultured bacterium. RNAcentral describes it as "partial 16S ribosomal RNA". It matches the Rfam family "Bacterial small subunit ribosomal RNA", at positions 524 to 776 of the family's 1533-position model. The record is from RNAcentral.